ACUCGCGAGAGUAAGCUAAUCUCUUAAAGCCGUUCUCAGUUCGGACUGUAGGCUGCAACUCGCCUACACGAAGUCGGAAUCGCUAGUAAUCGCGGAUCAGCAUGCCGCGGUGAAUACGUUCCCGGGCCUUGUACACACCGCCCGUCACACCAUGGGAGUUGGGGAUACCCGAAGCCUGUGAGCUAACAGUAAUGAAGCAGCAGUCGAAGGUAGAAUCAAUGAUUGGGGUGAAGUCGUAACAAGGUAGC
Molecule: ribosomal RNA, 248 nt
Filed under: uncultured bacterium
Lineage: Bacteria
Description: partial 16S ribosomal RNA
Rfam family: Bacterial small subunit ribosomal RNA
Source: RNAcentral